Molecule: unclassified non-coding RNA, 67 nt
Filed under: soil metagenome
Description: partial internal transcribed spacer 1
Source: RNAcentral
AGAAUUAUAAAUAUUUGUGAAAUUUACACAGCAAACAAUAAUUUUAUAGUCAAAACAAAAAUAAUCA